Molecule: RNA transcript, 941 nt
Organism: Prosopis cineraria
Lineage: Eukaryota; Viridiplantae; Streptophyta; Magnoliopsida; Fabales; Fabaceae
Exons: 7
Source: RefSeq, a predicted model, not a curated record
UGACCUCUUCUUUUUGUCAUGUGUUUACUGAGACUCCAGGUAUUUGAUAUCCUCCUGUUUCAUAUAGGAAGGAGUUUAAAUGUCCAGACUUAUUGGUGGAGCAUACAAGCCAUAUGCUUGUCGCAUUCAUCAGUGGGUCUCCCAGCACAUUCUAGCUGUAUUACCAAUUUGUGCCAUGCUUGUUGGAUGCACAUUCUUCAUCUGGAAAAUCUAUCUUAAACUAUGCAUGUCAAGAAGAGUUGAAGAGCUUUACAACCAGGUAUGUGAAAUACUCGAAGAGAAUGCAGUGAUGUCAAAGAAUGUUAAUGGUGAAUGUGAGCCUUGGAUUGUUGCCUCUAGACUACGAGAUCACCUACUUUUGCCAAGAGAGCGAAAGGACCCUUUGUUUGGGAAAAAGGUGGAAGAAUUGGUUCAAGAGGAUUCUCGAGUAGAUCGCUAUCCGAAGCUGGUGAAGGGCGAAUCCAAAGUGGUAUGGGAAUGGCAAGUUGAAGGCUCUCUAAGCUCUUCAAAGAUGAAGAGAAAAAUAGAUGCAAGCAAAAUGAAGGUCAGUGAAGGUGCAGAUCUAAGUUCCCAACAAUGUCCCAUUCCAAAGACUGAGGCUGAGGAACUACUUUUUUGACACAAGGUCUUCUUUGAAUAAUUACUCAAGUUUCAACUAUGCUGGCUGAAACAACUUGUAUAUCAGCCGAAGGCUAGUUCUACCUUGUUUGUAUAGAGAAAGAAACGUUGGACGUGUUUUAAACUCUGGGAUGUGAAGCCGACGGGUCCUCGAGGCCGGUAGAUCUUCUGUUUAUUGAGGAAGUGGUAGUGUGAUGUCAACAUAUAUUUAAUUAAUAUUUGUUCUUUCGAGUCAAAGAAUUUUUCUUCUUAGAGUCAGUAUAGUGUGUAUCAAGCAUGGAUAUAGGUGUAUGAUUGCUGCCCUCUUUUGACAAGUCAAAAUU